CGUGGUAGCUUGAAUUUGUGAAGGGAAGCACAGUAGGAGUAAAACUUCAGGUUUAUUCAUGAAAAACUCCCAAUCUCUUUCAGUUGCCUCUUCGGUUGGCAUAUUCUUUCUAGCAAUCGUUGGCCUGCUGGGAAAGUAACCGGCAUAGGUAUAUUGUCCAAAGUUGACAGAUGCAUGAUGACCUGAGGUUACCCAAGUGAUGGUUGUAACAAUUUGGAUCAAGUCUUGUGGUGUUUUGAGGACAGGCCACCAGGGUUCAUCUUUCUUGUCACCAUGCCCAACCGUACGGAUUUCGGUCCACCAUGCUUGAAGCUCUUCGUCCGACUCCACUAGGCUUGCCUCUGGAUAGUAAUGGUUCACAUAAUCAGAGACCCAUUCUUUGAGAAUAU
RNAcentral lists this long non-coding RNA (389 nucleotides) under Gossypium barbadense (sea-island cotton). RNAcentral's name for it is "long non-coding RNA (GBAR_LNC015966)". Lineage: Eukaryota; Viridiplantae; Streptophyta; Magnoliopsida; Malvales; Malvaceae. The record is from RNAcentral.